Molecule: non-coding RNA, 445 nt
Organism: Dermacentor andersoni
Lineage: Eukaryota; Metazoa; Arthropoda; Arachnida; Ixodida; Ixodidae
Source: RefSeq, a predicted model, not a curated record
UAACAGCCUCGAAAACACGAAAGGUCGAACGCCGCCCGUGAAAUUCUACAGAUUUCCGGGGAAGUGGUACGAGAAGGUCAGACGACAAGCAUGGAUAAUUGCAGUGCGCCGAGUCAAUGCUGAUGACACUCCCUGGGAGCCAUCCAAAAGCAUGCGAAUUUACAAAAACAAGCAGGCUUUGCGAAGCGAAGACAUCGAUAACGCUUGCCGUUGUUCGCUGACAGCUCUGCGCAAAUCAGAACGAACACAAACGUGUAAUUUACUAAUGCUCCAGCCAAGAAAUUUAGCAGCAAAAGGCGGAAGCACAAAAUGAGAGCAGCCGUGUGCGCGCACUCAGCUACCGAGGAAACUAACGGCAAUCGUCACCGUCCCUCCACAUCUCUGCAAGUAUGCAUGACCGCUUUGUGCCUGCAUCAUAUAGAAAUAAAGUGGCUAAACUUCUGAA